AGAGUUUGAUCAUGGCUCAGAGCGAACGCUGGCGGUAUGCUUAACACAUGCAAGUCGAGCGAGAAAGUGACUUCGGUCAUGAGUACAGCGGCGGACGGGUGAGUAAUACAUGGAUAAUCUGCCUUUAGGACUGGGACAACUCAGGGAAACUUGAGCUAAUACCGGAUAAGACUACAGAAUCUACGGAUUCAGCGGUAAAAGGUGGCUUCGGCUAUCACCUAGAGAUGAGUCCAUGUCCCAUCAGGUAGUUGGUGAGGUAACGGCUCACAAAGCCUAAGACGGGUAGCCGACCUUAGCGGGUGAUCGGCCACACGGGGACUGAGACACGGCCCCGACUCCUACGGGAGGCAGCAGUGGGGAAUAUUGGACAAUGGGCGAAAGCCUGAUCCAGCAAUACCGCGUGAGGGAUGAAGGCCCUAGGGUCGUAAACCUCUGUCAGUUGGAACGAUGGGUCUGUAGGUUAAUACCCUACAGACUUGACGGUACCUUCAAAGGAAGCCCCGGCUAACUCCGUGCCAGCAGCCGCGGUAAUACGGAGGGGGCAAGCGUUGCUCGGAAUUACUGGGCGUAAAGGGUCCGCAGGUGGCUUUAUAAGUUAGAUGUGAAAUCCCAGGGCUUAACCCUGGAACUGCAUCUAAUACUGUAAGGCUUGAGUACAGGAGAGGUUGGCGGAAUUCCCGGUGUAGCGGUGAAAUGCGUAGAUAUCGGGAGGAACACCAGUGGCGAAGGCGGCCAACUGGCCUGUUACUGACACUCAGGGACGAAAGCGUGGGGAGCAAACGGGAUUAGAUACCCCGGUAGUCCACGCCCUAAACGAUGGAUGCUAGGUGUAGGGAUGAAAAUCUCUGUGCCGUAGUUAACGCAUUAAGCAUCCCGCCUGGGGAGUACGAUCGCAAGAUUUAAACUCAAAGGAAUUGACGG
RNAcentral lists this ribosomal RNA (921 nucleotides) under uncultured bacterium. Its description in RNAcentral is "bacterial SSU rRNA". It matches the Rfam family "Bacterial small subunit ribosomal RNA", at positions 8 to 916 of the family's 1533-position model. The record is from RNAcentral.